This 263-nucleotide unclassified non-coding RNA is filed under the name Hevea brasiliensis (rubber tree). Lineage: Eukaryota; Viridiplantae; Streptophyta; Magnoliopsida; Malpighiales; Euphorbiaceae. The record is from RNAcentral.
GUAAGAAGCAAAUCUCAGUAAGUACUUAUUAGAACGAAAGUAACGUUAAACAAGUACUAACUACGCUCAGAACUGAGCAAUAUGGAAUUCACGGAUCCUUUUGCAACCCAUAAUUAAGUGCCCACAAGCAGAAGAGAUGUCCACCAUGGGCUAGACCCAGUUAGCCAUAAAACGCUAGAAAUUUCCUAUAUUGAAAAUAUGCCAAACACACAAUUUUUGACAAAAUUAAGCUGAUGACAAAAACAAUAGAGCAUGUUUGGGAU